This 406-nucleotide ribosomal RNA is filed under the name uncultured bacterium. RNAcentral's name for it is "partial 16S ribosomal RNA". It matches the Rfam family "Bacterial small subunit ribosomal RNA", at positions 30 to 526 of the family's 1533-position model. The record is from RNAcentral.
AUUGAACGCUGGCGGCAGGCCUAACACAUGCAAGUCGAACGAGUGGCGGACGGGUGAGUAAUGUCUGGGAAACUGCCUGAUGGAGGGGGAUAACUACUGGAAAAGGUAGCUAAUACCUCAUACCAUUGGAUGUGCCCAGAUGGGAUUAGCUAGUAGGUGGGGUAAAGGCUCACCUAGGAGACGAUCCCUAGGUGGUCUGAGAGGAUGACCGGCCACACGAGAACUGAGACACAGUCCAGACUCCUACGGGGGGAACCAGUGGUGAAUAUUGUCCAAUUGGCGCAAGCCCAAUUCAGCCAUGCCGCGUGUCUGAAGAAGGCCUUGUAGUUGUAAUGUACUUUCAACGGGGAGGCGUUACCCGCAGAAGAAGCACCGGCUAACUCCUUGCCAGCAGCCGCGGUAAUUC